RNAcentral lists this transfer RNA (67 nucleotides) under Spathius agrili (emerald ash borer parasitic wasp). RNAcentral describes it as "tRNA-Asn". Lineage: Eukaryota; Metazoa; Arthropoda; Insecta; Hymenoptera; Braconidae. The record is from RNAcentral.
UUAAUUGAAACCAAAUUAGAGGUAAAUUAUUGUUAAUAAUUAAAUUGAAAUAUAAUUUCCAAUUAAA